Molecule: ribosomal RNA, 406 nt
Filed under: uncultured bacterium
Lineage: Bacteria
Description: partial 16S ribosomal RNA
Rfam family: Bacterial small subunit ribosomal RNA
Source: RNAcentral
AUUGAACGCUGGCGGCAGGCCUAACACAUGCAAGUCGAACGAGUGGCGGACGGGUGAGUAAUGUCUGGGACACUGCCUGAUGGAGGGGGAUAACUACUGGAAACGGUAGCUAAUACCGCAUACCAUCGGAUGUGCCCAGAUGGGAUUAGCUUGUAGGUGAGGUAACGGCUCACCUAGGCGACGAUCCCUAGCUGGUCUGAGAGGAUGACAAGCCACACUGGAACGGAGACACGGUCCAGACUCCUACGGGAGGCAGCAGGGGGGAAGAUUGCACAAUGGGCGAAAGCCUGAUGCAGCAAUGCCGCGUGUAUGAAGAAGGCCUUCGGAUUGUAAAGUACUUUCAGCAGGGAGGCGUUACCCGCAGAAGAAGCACCGGCUAACUCCGUGCCAGCAGCCGCGGGAAUUC